This 74-nucleotide transfer RNA is filed under the name Anaerolinea sp. RNAcentral's name for it is "tRNA-Tyr". It matches the Rfam family "tRNA". Rfam says of the family: Transfer RNA (tRNA) molecules are approximately 80 nucleotides in length. Their secondary structure includes four short double-helical elements and three loops (D, anti-codon, and T loops). Lineage: Bacteria; Bacillati; Chloroflexota; Anaerolineae; Anaerolineales; Anaerolineaceae. RNAcentral also lists the same sequence under 1 other name. The record is from RNAcentral.
CCCGAGGUAGCCAAGUGGCCUAAGGCAGCGGACUGUAAAUUCGCCAUACGUUGGUUCAAAUCCAACCCUCGGGA